This is a non-coding RNA of Macaca mulatta (Rhesus monkey), 666 nucleotides long. The record is from RefSeq and is a predicted model, not a curated record. NCBI's taxonomy places the organism in Eukaryota, Metazoa, Chordata, Mammalia, Primates, Cercopithecidae.
GCUCGCUGACUUUCCUUCAUUAAUCUCCGAUGGUCGUUAUCUGUGGGCCCACUGGGCUAUCCCGCGCGUGCACGCGGAACCGGAGUUCUCGUGCACUCUAGAUUAUAGUGAAUGAGUGCCUUAUGUGGAGUCCAGCCAUGACCAAGAGACAGGAGCUAACACUCAGCUUCAUGGAAAGGCCUGACCUAAUGUCCAGGAAUAGUCUCCCAAGGAAGAGAAAAAAAACCCAGACCAGUAAGACUGCUGAAACCUACUGAAACAAGCUAAAUAGGUGACAUUGCAUGUAAACAUACAUACAUCUUUCUAUUCAUAGACAAGACACAAUAAAAAAUCUUGGAUAAAAUACUUCAAUUUACAUAUAUUACACAUUUUCAUUUUGCUGGUUGAUUAAUGACUACAAAGGAACCUGAACUCAUUUUAUGUGGAGAACAUUGGUAAAGAAGACAAGAGAAAUUCUGAAAAAGUACCUGAAAGUGAAGAUUCUAAGAGUGAAUUGGAUCUUUUUAAAUAAAAAGCUGUUGUUUCUCUUCUGUGGUAUUUAGAGUUGGGAGUGGUUAUAUGCAUGUUAUUUAUUCACUCAUGCAGUCAUUUAAGAUUUUCAUUUUCUUAAUUAUUUAGUAAAAUUUACCAACACGAGGUAAGAGUCAAGGUGAAGACUUAUUUUUA